Molecule: long non-coding RNA, 378 nt
Filed under: Mytilus galloprovincialis (Mediterranean mussel)
Lineage: Eukaryota; Metazoa; Mollusca; Bivalvia; Mytilida; Mytilidae
Source: RNAcentral
UGUUUCCUCCACUUCUUGGAAAGAGGUAGAGGUCUUGGCAUUCUUGAUUAUGUCGUCGAGAUUAACAACUUCAUGGCAUCCUUUAUGAACUUCAAUGGCACACUUACCACAGCAUGGCAUUUCAUGAUCUUUACAGUAUAAAAGAAACUUUUCAUCAUGCUUGGUACAAGACUGAAGGAUCUGCAUGACAUCUGGAGGCAGCAUCUGGUAUUCAGCCAUUGGUAUCGUCUUGUGGUGUCUGGAUGCCUUCGCUAAGCUGUGGUGUUCUGCACAAUCCGAACAAAAACCUUCAUCACACUCAGGGCACCAGGCUAUGGAUGGGUUGGUCACGUGUCGAAGGUCACAUAUACUACAAUUGUUUUUUGCAGUAGCCAUUAU